This 414-nucleotide ribosomal RNA is filed under the name uncultured microorganism. RNAcentral describes it as "bacterial SSU rRNA". It matches the Rfam family "Archaeal small subunit ribosomal RNA", at positions 330 to 745 of the family's 1478-position model. The record is from RNAcentral.
GUGCAGCAGUCGCGAAACCUCCGCAAUACACGAAAGUGUGACGGGGUCAUCCCGAGUGCCGUCCGCUGAGGACGGCUUUUCCCCAGUGUACACAGCUGGGGGAAUAAGGAGAGGGCAAGCCUGGUGUCAGCCGCCGCGGUAAUACCAGCUCUCCGAGUGGUGGGGACGCUUAUUGGGCCUAAAGCAUCCGUAGCCGGCUGGGCAAGUCCUCCGUUAAAUCCAACGAUUCAAUCGUUGGGCUGCGGGGGAUACUGUCCAGCUUGGGGGGCGGGAGAGGCCGACGGUAUUCCCGGGGUAGGGGUGAAAUCCUAUAAUCCCGGGAGGACCACCAGUGGCGAAGGCUGUCGGCUAGAACGCGCCCGACGGUGAGGGAUGAAAGCUGGGGGAGCGAACCGGAUUAGAUACCCGCGUAGU